GUGGGUAUAGCUCAGUGGUAGAGUGCGUGCCUAGCAUAUAUGAGGUCCUGCGGUCAAUUCCCAGUAUCUCCA
Camelus ferus (Wild Bactrian camel) is the source of this 72-nucleotide transfer RNA. It matches the Rfam family "tRNA". Rfam says of the family: Transfer RNA (tRNA) molecules are approximately 80 nucleotides in length. Their secondary structure includes four short double-helical elements and three loops (D, anti-codon, and T loops). Further hydrogen bonds mediate the characteristic L-shaped molecular structure. tRNAs have two regions of fundamental functional importance: the anti-codon, which is responsible for specific mRNA codon recognition, and the 3' end, to which the tRNAs corresponding amino acid is attached (by aminoacyl-tRNA synthetases). tRNAs cope with the degeneracy of the genetic code in two manners: having more than one tRNA (with a specific anti-codon) for a particular amino acid; and 'wobble' base-pairing, i.e. permitting non-standard base-pairing at the 3rd anti-codon position. The record is from Rfam. Lineage: Eukaryota; Metazoa; Chordata; Mammalia; Artiodactyla; Camelidae.